This 497-nucleotide ribosomal RNA is filed under the name uncultured bacterium. RNAcentral's name for it is "partial 16S ribosomal RNA". It matches the Rfam family "Bacterial small subunit ribosomal RNA", at positions 28 to 507 of the family's 1533-position model. The record is from RNAcentral.
GAUGAACGCUGGCGGCGUGCCUAAUACAUGCAAGUCGAGCGAACGGACGAGAAGCUUGCUUCUCUGAUGUUAGCGGCGGACGGGUGAGUAACACGUGGAUAACCUACCUAUAAGACUGGGAUAACUUCGGGAAACCGGAGCUAAUACCGGAUGAUAUUUUGAACCGCAUGGUUCAAAGGUGAAAGACGGUCUUGCUGUCACUUAUAGAUGUAUCCGCGCUGCAUUAGCUAGUUGGUAGGGUAACGGCUUACCAAGGCAACGAUGCAUAGCCGACCUGAGAGGGUGAUCGGCCACACUGGAACUGAGACACGGUCCAGACUCCUACGGGAGGCAGCAGUAGGGAAUCUUCCGCAAUGGGCGAAAGCCUGACGGAGCAACGCCGCGUGAGUGAUGAAGGUCUUCGGAUCGUAAAACUCUGUUAUUAGGGAAGAACAUAUGUGUAAGUAACUGUGCACAUCUUGACGGUACCUAAUCAGAAAGCCACGGCUAACUACGUG